Molecule: long non-coding RNA, 597 nt
Filed under: Selaginella moellendorffii
Lineage: Eukaryota; Viridiplantae; Streptophyta; Lycopodiopsida; Selaginellales; Selaginellaceae
Description: long non-coding RNA (SMOE_LNC001219)
Source: RNAcentral
GCCCAGCCUGCAGCUGCAAAAAUCGCUGGCGGUGUUUGUAAUGGGAAAGGUUCCGGAUGCUCCUGAACACAGAAGUUGCAGAUAAACAAAGUUAAGUUGGCAGAAUAUAAUAUACCUGGUGUUUUCCGGAAAUGUGGUAACACUGCCCAAGAUCAUCAGUCGAGCCCCAAGUAUGCAAUUUUCCACUCUCUGUUGUGUUAGGAUCCAUCAAAGGAAGAAACAACAAAAGCCACAACACAAAGUUAGAAUUUUAUUGUUUUUUACUGAAGAAGAUAAGCUCUGGCAUCUGCAAAACUGCCACCGAGAAAAACGAAGAGCAUCAAUACAAAAGGAAAAGGAUGUCAGCUAAAGGAGGCAUUUGGAAAAUGCAAUAAACAGGCAGGCAAUGGGCUAAAACUGGAUGGUUACAGUGUUUUUUUUCUCUUUUUUUGUUGGUCUUCAAAGCAGCAACUUCACCGAGUCUGCAACUUAAAAACAAGGCACAGAACAAACAGAAAAACUGUGAGAUCGAUCGAGCGGAUAAGCUCGAGAAAACAACGAGACCCACGGCAAAAAAGAAAGAGAGGCUUGUAACACAAAGGGAAAGAACUCACUCAC